AGAAGGCACACCCGGAGAACUGAAACAUCUUAGUACCCGGAGGAAGAGAAAGAAAAUUCGAUUCCCUUAGUAGCGGCGAGCGAAACGGGAAGAGCCCAAACCAACAAGCUUGCUUGUUGGGGUUGUAGGACACUCUAUACGGAGUUACAAAGGACGACAUUAGACGAAUCAUCUGGAAAGAUGAAUCAAAGAAGGUAAUAAUCCUGUAGUCGAAAAUGUUGUCUCUCUUGAGUGGAUCCUGAGUACGACGGAGCACGUGAAAUUCCGUCGGAAUCUGGGAGGACCAUCUCCUAAGGCUAAAUACUCUCUAGUGACCGAUAGUGAACCAGUACCGUGAGGGAAAGGUGAAAAGCACCCCGGAAGGGGAGUGAAAUAGAACCUGAAACCGUGUGCUUACAAGUAGUCAGAGCCCGUUAAUGGGUGAUGGCGUGCCUUUUGUAGAAUGAACCGGCGAGUUACGAUUUGAUGCAAGGUUAAGCAGUAAAUGUGGAGCCGUAGCGAAAGCGAGUCUGAAUAGGGCGUUUAGUAUUUGGUCGUAGACCCGAAACCAGGUGAUCUACCCUUGGUCAGGUUGAAGUUCAGGUAACACUGAAUGGAGGACCGAACCGACUUACGUUGAAAAGUGAGCGGAUGAACUGAGGGUAGCGGAGAAAUUCCAAUCGAACCUGGAGAUAGCUGGUUCUCUCCGAAAUAGCUUUAGGGCUAGCCUCAAGUGAUGAUUAUUGGAGGUAGAGCACUGUUUGGACGAGGGGCCCCUCUCGGGUUACCGAAUUCAGACAAACUCCGAAUGCCAAUUAAUUUAACUUGGGAGUCAGAACAUGGGUGAUAAGGUCCGUGUUCGAAAGGGAAACAGCCCAGACCACCAGCUAAGGUCCCAAAAUAUAUGUUAAGUGGAAAAGGAUGUGGCGUUGCCCAGACAACUAGGAUGUUGGCUUAGAAGCAGCCAUCAUUUAAAGAGUGCGUAAUAGCUCACUAGUCGAGUGACACUGCGCCGAAAAUGUACCGGGGCUAAACAUAUUACCGAAGCUGUGGAUUGUCCUUUGGACAAUGGUAGGAGAGCGUUCUAAGGGCGUUGAAGCAUGAUCGUAAGGACAUGUGGAGCGCUUAGAAGUGAGAAUGCCGGUGUGAGUAGCGAAAGACGGGUGAGAAUCCCGUCCACCGAUUGACUAAGGUUUCCAGAGGAAGGCUCGUCCGCUCUGGGUUAGUCGGGUCCUAAGCUGAGGCCGACAGGCGUAGGCGAUGGAUAACAGGUUGAUAUUCCUGUACCACCUAUAAUCGUUUUAAUCGAUGGGGGGACGCAGUAGGAUAGGCGAAGCGUGCGAUUGGAUUGCACGUCUAAGCAGUAAGGCUGAGUAUUAGGCAAAUCCGGUACUCGUUAAGGCUGAGCUGUGAUGGGGAGAAGACAUUGUGUCUUCGAGUCGUUGAUUUCACACUGCCGAGAAAAGCCUCUAGAUAGAAAAUAGGUGCCCGUACCGCAAACCGACACAGGUAGUCAAGAUGAGAAUUCUAAGGUGAGCGAGCGAACUCUCGUUAAGGAACUCGGCAAAAUGACCCCGUAACUUCGGGAGAAGGGGUGCUCUUUAGGGUUAACGCCCAGAAGAGCCGCAGUGAAUAGGCCCAAGCGACUGUUUAUCAAAAACACAGGUCUCUGCUAAACCGUAAGGUGAUGUAUAGGGGCUGACGCCUGCCCGGUGCUGGAAGGUUAAGAGGAGUGGUUAGCUUCUGCGAAGCUACGAAUCGAAGCCCCAGUAAACGGCGGCCGUAACUAUAACGGUCCUAAGGUAGCGAAAUUCCUUGUCGGGUAAGUUCCGACCCGCACGAAAGGCGUAACGAUUUGGGCACUGUCUCAACGAGAGACUCGGUGAAAUCAUAGUACCUGUGAAGAUGCAGGUUACCCGCGACAGGACGGAAAGACCCCGUGGAGCUUUACUGUAGCCUGAUAUUGAAAUUCGGCACAGCUUGUACAGGAUAGGUAGGAGCCUUUGAAACGUGAGCGCUAGCUUACGUGGAGGCGCUGGUGGGAUACUACCCUAGCUGUGUUGGCUUUCUAACCCGCACCACUUAUCGUGGUGGGAGACAGUGUCAGGCGGGCAGUUUGACUGGGGCGGUCGCCUCCUAAAAGGGAACGGAGGCGCUCAAAGG
RNAcentral lists this ribosomal RNA (2142 nucleotides) under Staphylococcus aureus. RNAcentral describes it as "bacterial LSU rRNA". It matches the Rfam family "Bacterial large subunit ribosomal RNA", at positions 174 to 2316 of the family's 2925-position model. The record is from RNAcentral. Lineage: Bacteria; Bacillati; Bacillota; Bacilli; Caryophanales; Staphylococcaceae.